UUUAAUGAUCGAACAGAUCAAAAUUUUAAACUUUUGCAUUUAAAUUUUAUCUUAAUCCAACAUCGAGGUCGCAAACUUUUUUUUUUAUUUGGACUAAAAAAAAAUAUUACGCUGUUAUCCCUAAGGUAAUUUUUUCUUAUAAUCAUUAUUAAUGGAUCAUUUAAUCAUUUAUUUAUGUUUAAUUUUUAAAAAAAGUUAAUUUAAUUUUUCUAUCACCCCAAUAUAAUAAUUAAUUUUAUUUUAAUGAAAAUUUUUAUAUAACUUUAAAAUAAAAAUAAAUAUAAAACUCUAUAGGGUCUUCUCGUCUUUUAAAAUUAUUUUAGCUUUUUAACUAAAAAAUAAAUUUCUAAAAAUAAAUAAGAGACAGUUUAUAUUUCAUCAAAUCUUUCAUACAAGUUUUCAAUUAAAAAACUAUUUAUUAUGCUACCUUUGUACAGUCAUUAUACUGCAGCCCUUUAAUUUUUAUCAGUGGGCAGAUUAGACUUUAAAUUAUAUUCAAA
RNAcentral lists this ribosomal RNA (500 nucleotides) under Oeneis ammon. Its description in RNAcentral is "partial 16S rRNA". Lineage: Eukaryota; Metazoa; Arthropoda; Insecta; Lepidoptera; Nymphalidae. The record is from RNAcentral.